GAAGUAUUUUUAUUUUCUCCCCUCCUAACUCUCUUUUAUACUGUGUGUUUACUUAUGUUUUUAAGCAUUAUAUUUUACCUUUCUUUCAACCCAAACACUAUCAAAAUUAAUAUAUCUGUACUACUUUCAUGUUUUCAUUUUCGAGAAACUUUCAAAAUACAUACUAUAUCUUUGCUGUUACUAUUUCCCUCCUGCGCUAACUACCAUGCACGGUGGUAUAUAUAUACAUGUGUUUAUGAAUUUUUGAAGUAUCCAGAUCUCACCACAUGUAUAUGUAUUCCUUACCUGUCUCACUCUUUUCUACCGCAUCCAUACACAUAAAAGAUCUAAUCAGAUCUAAAGAAAAUGGAGGAAAGGACACUGAAUUCAUCUUUUUAGAAAAAGAACAAAACAUUAGGUGAUUGAAAAGAUGAUGGCGUCAGCCGUCAAGGGCUCGGAGGAAAUUGUCGUCGGAUAUUACGCAACCGUCGUACCAUGUUGGCGGUGACUUUUGCUGCCGCUGUUAUAGAUCUGGUCGACAUUGGUGCCUGGCGUUGGUGGUCAUAGUUUCUAAAGAGACCGGUGAUUACAAUUAUGGUGAACGAAGCCGGUAGCGGUCAGUGGAUGAGGUCGUUUCCGGCGAUUUUUUAGCAGAUUGGUUAUGUUUAUUUGUAAUUAUGUAAAGUUGUAUAAUUGUAUUGUAUAAUAUGCAAUGAAAUUGGUACAUAUAAAAAGGAAACAUGGUUGUACAAUAUGCAUUAAGAACUUGUAAAAAAGAAUUAUGUAAAGUUGUAUAAUUGUAUUGUA
Erigeron canadensis is the source of this 786-nucleotide long non-coding RNA. RefSeq lists it as uncharacterized. NCBI's taxonomy places the organism in Eukaryota, Viridiplantae, Streptophyta, Magnoliopsida, Asterales, Asteraceae. The transcript has 2 exons. The record is from RefSeq and is a predicted model, not a curated record.